This 776-nucleotide ribosomal RNA is filed under the name uncultured Neocallimastigales. RNAcentral's name for it is "partial large subunit ribosomal RNA". It matches the Rfam family "Eukaryotic large subunit ribosomal RNA", at positions 23 to 616 of the family's 3401-position model. Lineage: Eukaryota; Fungi; Neocallimastigomycota; Neocallimastigomycetes; Neocallimastigales. The record is from RNAcentral.
GAGAGAGAGACAUGCGCGCAUAUCAAUAAGCGGAGGAAAAGAAACUAACAAGGAUUCCCCUAGUAACGGCGAGUGAAGCGGGAAGAGCUCAAAUUUGAAAUCUUAAAGGGUUUCCCUUUACGAAUUGUAGUUUAAAGAAGUGUUUUCUGUUGAGGUUUUGGUAAAAGUUCUUUGGAAUAGGACAUCAUAGAGGGUGAGAAUCCCGUAUUUGACCUUUACUUUCAACUUUGUGAUACACUUUCAAAGAGUCGGAUUGUUUGGGAAUGCAGUCCAAAAUGGGUGGUAAAUUUCACCUAAAGCUAAAUAUUGGCGAGAGACCGAUAGCGAACAAGUACCGUGAGGGGAAAGAUGAAAAGAACUUUGAAAAGAGAGUUAAACAGUACGUGAAAUUGUCAAAAGGGAAGCGUUUGACACCAGUGUUGUUUUUCUGAAAAUCAAUUAAAGAACUGUUUAUGCUAAGUUGUUUAGACUUUAUCAGCUAACUGUUUAGUUUUGAGCUUUUCUUUAAUGCACUUUUCAGCUAACAAGUCAACAUCAAUUUCUUUUGCUGUAAAAAAGCUUGAGGAAGGUGGCUUGAGAUUCGUCUUAAGUGUUUAUAGCCUCUUGCCUAUGCAGUCGGAGAGAUUGAGGUCUGCAGCGUAGAUCCUUCGGGGCUAAAUGCAUUUGUGCUAAGUUAUAGCAUUUUAUAGACAACUUGUUGACUAUGAUUUGUCUUGUAGCUUACUCGCUUAUGUUAUUUUACCUACGCUUAGGAUGUUGAGCGCAUGUCUCUCUCU